UCACUGAAGCGCAGCUCUCACGAAUGUUAUCACACAUAUACACGUUACACCUAAUAGAAAUUUGAUAUAUAUAAAAAAAAAACAAAAUGAACUGGGAAGAGCUGCCAAAAAUUUUUUAAGAUUGGGAGGUAAUCUUCGUAUAUAACAUAGAUUGUUGUUGCUGGAAGACUAAUUGAUUAGCGAAGCAUCCUUUUGGUUCAAAAGUGAGCACUAAGGCGGCGAUUAAGAAAAUUUAUCCUCCGGUUCAAAUCAGCAAUUUGUAAUGUUUAAAUUUGUUUGUUGUUGUUAUUCACAUAGAAAUAAAGAAAAGCCCUGGCGGUAA
This is a long non-coding RNA of Drosophila montana, 322 nucleotides long. RefSeq lists it as uncharacterized. NCBI's taxonomy places the organism in Eukaryota, Metazoa, Arthropoda, Insecta, Diptera, Drosophilidae. The record is from RefSeq and is a predicted model, not a curated record. The transcript has 2 exons.